Molecule: ribosomal RNA, 351 nt
Filed under: Triticum aestivum (bread wheat)
Lineage: Eukaryota; Viridiplantae; Streptophyta; Magnoliopsida; Poales; Poaceae
Description: partial small subunit ribosomal RNA
Source: RNAcentral
AUGGCUACACAACCUCUCAAGGUUCUGGUGUGGAACGUACGGGGCCUCAACUCCCCGGCACGGUGCAACACAGUCUUUGAAGUAGUGGCGGCGGCUAGGUCGAGCAUCGUUUGUUCCUAGGAAACUAAAUUGGAGUCCAUCUCGGUUGAUCUUGUAAGGCAUUGCUUGGGUAACAAGUAUGAAAACUUUUAUUACUUGCCUGCUCUGGGCACGCGUGGGGGCAUCCUUAUAGCUUGGGAUGCUUUACUCGCCUCUUUGUCAUGCCCGCAUCGUACGCGCAAUACCCUAACAGUGCUGGUUAAGCCAGUAGGGGACACCCGAAUGGUGCCAAUCGGAUGCGGACAAGGUUGA